RNAcentral lists this ribosomal RNA (253 nucleotides) under uncultured bacterium. RNAcentral's name for it is "partial 16S ribosomal RNA". It matches the Rfam family "Bacterial small subunit ribosomal RNA", at positions 524 to 776 of the family's 1533-position model. The record is from RNAcentral.
UACAGAGGUCCCGAGCGUUGUUCGGAUUCACUGGGCGUAAAGGGUGCGUAGGUGGUGAGGAAAGUCGGAUGUGAAAUCUCCAAGCUCAACUUGGAAAUGGCAUUGGAAACUACCUUGCUGGAGGUUUGGAGGGGGGACUGGAAUACUUGGUGUAGCAGUGAAAUGCGUAGAUAUCAAGUGGAACACCAGUGGCGAAGGCGAGUCCCUGGACAACACCUGACACUGAGGCACGAAAGCUAGGGGAGCAAACAGG